This 28-nucleotide non-coding RNA is filed under the name Mus musculus (house mouse). The record is from RNAcentral. Lineage: Eukaryota; Metazoa; Chordata; Mammalia; Rodentia; Muridae.
CCGCUGGGCCAUGAAAUCUGUAAAGCCA